This 170-nucleotide ribosomal RNA is filed under the name Acanthurus blochii (ringtail surgeonfish). RNAcentral describes it as "partial 12S ribosomal RNA". Lineage: Eukaryota; Metazoa; Chordata; Actinopteri; Acanthuriformes; Acanthuridae. The record is from RNAcentral.
CACCGCGGUUAUACGAGAGACCCAAGUUGACAGACAAUCGGCGUAAAGAGUGGUUAAGUAGCACAUUACACUAAAGCCAAACACCUUCAAAGCUGUUAUACGCACCCGAAGAUCAGAAGCUCAAUCACGAAAGUGGCUUUAAACUAACUGAACCCACGAAAGCUAGGGUA